Molecule: ribosomal RNA, 775 nt
Filed under: uncultured Neocallimastigales
Lineage: Eukaryota; Fungi; Neocallimastigomycota; Neocallimastigomycetes; Neocallimastigales
Description: partial large subunit ribosomal RNA
Rfam family: Eukaryotic large subunit ribosomal RNA
Source: RNAcentral
UGUACACGCUGUGACUAGCAUAUCAAUAAGCGGAGGAAAAGAAACUAACAAGGAUUCCCCUAGUAACGGCGAGUGAAGCGGGAAGAGCUCAAAUUUGAAAUCUUAAAGGGUUUCCCUCUACGAAUUGUAGUUUAAAGAAGUGUUUUCUGUUGAGGUUUUGGUAAAAGUUCUUUGGAAUAGGACAUCAUAGAGGGUGAGAAUCCCGUAUUUGACCUUUACUUUCAACUUUGUGAUACACUUUCAAAGAGUCGGAUUGUUUGGGAAUGCAGUCCAAAAUGGGUGGUAAAUUUCAUCUAAAGCUAAAUAUUGGCGAGAGACCGAUAGCGAACAAGUACCGUGAGGGAAAGAUGAAAAGAACUUUGAAAAGAGAGUUAAACAGUACGUGAAAUUGUCAAAAGGGAAGCGUUUGACACCAGUGUUGUUUUUCUGAAAAUCAAUUAAAGAACUGUUUAUGCUAAGCUGUUUAGACUUUAUCAGCUAUCUGUUUAGUUUUGAGCUUUUCUUUAAUGCACUUUUCAGUUAACAAGUCAACAUCAAUUUCUUUUGCUGUAAAAAAGCUUGAGGAAGGUGGCUUGAGAUUCGUCUUAAGUGUUUAUAGCCUCUUGCCUAUGCAGUCGGAGAGAUUGAGGUCUGCAGCGUAGAUCCUUCGGGGCUAAAUGCAUUUGUGCUAAGUUAUAGCAUUUUAUAGACAACUUGUUGACUAUGAUUUGUCUUGUAGCUUACUCGCUUAUGUUAUUUUACCUACGCUUAGGAUGUUGACGCGCGUGUGUGCGUG